Molecule: ribosomal RNA, 305 nt
Filed under: uncultured bacterium
Lineage: Bacteria
Description: partial 16S ribosomal RNA
Rfam family: Bacterial small subunit ribosomal RNA
Source: RNAcentral
CAAAGCCUACGGGGGGCGCAGCAGUGGGGGAUAUUGCACAAUGGGGGGAACCCUGAUGCAGCGACGCCGCGUGGGUGAAGAAGCGCCUCGGCGCGUAAAGCCCUGUCAGCAGGGAAGAAAAUGACGGUACCUGAAGAAGAAGCCCCGGCUAACUACGUGCCAGCAGCCGCGGUAAUACGUAGGGGGCAAGCGUUAUCCGGAUUUACUGGGUGUAAAGGGGGCGCAGACGGCGAUGCAAGCCAGGAGUGAAGGCCCGGGGCCCAACCCCGGGACUGCUCUUGGAACCGCGUGGCUGGAGUGCAGGG